RNAcentral lists this transfer RNA (72 nucleotides) under Marmota monax (woodchuck). RNAcentral describes it as "tRNA.Thr". Lineage: Eukaryota; Metazoa; Chordata; Mammalia; Rodentia; Sciuridae. The record is from RNAcentral.
GUGGGCUGUAGAUCAGUGGUAGAGCACUUGCCUAGUAUGUGUGAGGCACUAGGUUCAAUCCUCAGCACCACU